This 358-nucleotide transfer RNA is filed under the name Microcystis aeruginosa. RNAcentral describes it as "16S-23S ribosomal RNA intergenic spacer". The stretch from base 133 to 206 matches the Rfam family "tRNA". Lineage: Bacteria; Bacillati; Cyanobacteriota; Cyanophyceae; Chroococcales; Microcystaceae. The record is from RNAcentral.
AAGGGAGACCUAAUUCAGGUAUGGGACGAAAAAAAAGUAGUCGCUACCAAGAAUCAAUCCCAAAAGGUCGGAGCGAGGUAUGAGGCUUUCAAACUAGGUUCUGGGUUCAUAAAAGACCUGAAUCAGGAACAAGGGCUAUUAGCUCAGGUGGUUAGAGCGCACCCCUGAUAAGGGUGAGGUCCCUGGUUCGAGUCCAGGAUGGCCCACCUGCACAGGUGGCAAAAACAAGAGAAGCUCCGAAUCAGCACCUUAUCUUAUAUACAUAUAUAAGAGAGAAUGCUGGCUCUGAGUACAGAGUCCAGAGGAACCUUGAAAACUGCAUAGAGCUAGGUGAAAAAGCCAAAAAAGAAGACCGCAA